AUACGGAGGGUGCAAGCGUUAUCCGGAAUCAUUGGGUUUAAAGGGUCCGUAGGCGGGCUAAUAAGUCAGGGGUGAAAUCCCACAGCUUAACGGUGGAACUGCCCUUGAUACUGUUGGUCUUGAGUUACAGUGAAGUGGUUAGAAUGUGUAGUGUAGCGGUGAAAUGCAUAGAGAUUACACAGAAUACCGAUUGCGAAGGCAGAUCACUAACUGUAUACUGACGCUAAUGGACGAAAGCGUGGGGAGCGAACAGGAUUAGAAACCCCUGUAGUCC
RNAcentral lists this ribosomal RNA (274 nucleotides) under uncultured bacterium. RNAcentral describes it as "partial 16S ribosomal RNA". It matches the Rfam family "Bacterial small subunit ribosomal RNA", at positions 523 to 796 of the family's 1533-position model. The record is from RNAcentral.